This 465-nucleotide ribosomal RNA is filed under the name uncultured bacterium. RNAcentral describes it as "partial 16S ribosomal RNA". It matches the Rfam family "Bacterial small subunit ribosomal RNA", at positions 338 to 795 of the family's 1533-position model. The record is from RNAcentral.
CCUACGGGAGGCAGCAGUGGGGAAUAUUGUGCAAUGGGCGAAAGCCUGACGCAGCGACGCCGCGUGAGGGAUGAAGGUCUUCGGAUCAUAAACCUCUGUCAGCAGGGAAGAACGGUCACUGUGCUAAUCAGCAGUGAAUUGACGGUACCUGCAAAGGAAGCACCGGCUAACUCCGUGCCAGCAGCCGCGGUAAUACGGAGGGUGCGAGCGUUAAUCGGAAUUACUGGGCGUAAAGCGCUCGUAGGCGGUAUGUCAAGUCAAGGGGGAAAUCCCCGCGCUCAACGUGGGAACUGCCUUUGAAACUGGCAAACUGGAGUGUGUGAGAGGAUAGUGGAAUUGCAGGUGUAGGAGUGAAAUCCGUAGAUAUCUGGAGGAACAUCAGUGGCGAAGGCGACUAUCUGGCACAUAACUGACGCUGAGGAGCGAAAGCGUGGGUAGCAAACAGGAUUAGAUACCCUUGUAGUC